RNAcentral lists this ribosomal RNA (492 nucleotides) under uncultured bacterium. RNAcentral's name for it is "partial 16S ribosomal RNA". It matches the Rfam family "Bacterial small subunit ribosomal RNA", at positions 29 to 507 of the family's 1533-position model. The record is from RNAcentral.
AGUGAACGCUGGCGGUAGGCCUAACACAUGCAAGUCGAACGGCAGCACAGUAAGAGCUUGCUCUUACGGGUGGCGAGUGGCGGACGGGUGAGGAAUACAUCGGAAUCUACUUUUUCGUGGGUGAUAACGUAGGGAAACUUACGCUAAUACCGCAUACGACCUACGGGUGAAAGCAGGAGAUCUUCGGACCUUGCGCGAUUGAAUGAGCCGAUGUCGGAUUAGCUAGUUGGCGGGGUAAAGGCCCACCAAGGCGACGAUCCGUAGCUGGUCUGAGAGGAUGAUCAGCCACACUGGAACUGAGACACGGUCCAGACUCCUACGGGAGGCAGCAGUGGGGAAUAUUGGACAAUGGGCGCAAGCCUGAUCCAGCCAUACCGCGUGGGUGAAGAAGGCCUUCGGGUUGUAAAGCCCUUUUGUUGGGAAAGAAAAGCAGCAGGUUAAUACCCCGCUGUUCUGACGGUACCCAAAGAAUAAGCACCGGCUAACUUCGUG